Molecule: long non-coding RNA, 1152 nt
Filed under: Fukomys damarensis (Damara mole-rat)
Lineage: Eukaryota; Metazoa; Chordata; Mammalia; Rodentia; Bathyergidae
Description: lncRNA (ENSFDAG00000030114.1)
Source: RNAcentral
UUCAUUAGAUUUGUUAGUAGUUGGCUUACAUUUUCAGUCAAUGGUGAGCUGGAUCCAAGGCAGCAAAAGCAUAGUGGAAGGAACUGGCAGGGGAAAACUUCUCAACUAUUGUGAUCCAGGAAGACAGAAGAGAGGAGUGCGAGAGGAAGAUAUACCCUUUCAGCUCAUACCCACAGUGACCUACCUUCAAACAGCACACUCGAUCACUGCAUUCAAUAUGGAUUCAGCUACUAAUAAGUAUGGCGUCUUUCCAUCACCUUCUGAAAGCCUGCCUUACACGUGCAUGAGAAUUUCAAAGGGCAUUCCAGAUCAACAUCACAGCCAAGGGCAACAACCUUAAAGAGAAGGAAAGAGAGAGAGAAGACAACCUCCUAUCAAGGACAGUUUGGAAUUUCCUCUUCAAGGAUGGACAUGUGCAGAAGAGGCCAGCUCAUCCAGCCCAUGACCUAUUGUCAUCACAAGCUUGAAAUCCCUCAUGGAUCUGCACCAGGAAGACCCAAAGUCCAGGGGUGGAAGCCAGAAAACUUGUGCCACCAGUGGGUUGGAGGAUUUAUGCCACCAGGAUGAGGAAUUUACACUGGAGGCAGGAAGUGAUGCUCCUCUGAUGAGAACAGCAUCUACUCCGGGUGACAGUGAGUCCCUAAGCUCCUUCUCCAAAGAGAACAGCCAAUUUCGCAUCAAGAAAAGCAGCUACAGCAAGCUUCUCUUAGAAAUUCAACAGCCCCUCAUCUUCUCCUCCAUCUCUCUUUUUUAUACUAUUGGCAACAAUCCUCAGGUGGGUCUUCCACACCCAGACUACACUGACUCAGUUCUGCGGGCAUUACAAGUUGACCAUUAAUUAAUCCACCACAUAGUAUUUUCAGAUAAGGUGAUGGCAAUUUCAAGGACUACCUUCUGAUAUAUGGAGAUUUCAGUGACUCAUAAUUUUCAAGUCACAGUAGCAAUCUGUGAGUUGUGAGCAUGAUCCAAGUGCUUGUUCUGAUACAGACAUGCCAUUCACUUUUGUAUCAGAGUAGGAAAGAGAUUAAGAAAGAGAAUUAAUUAAUUUUUUUAAAAACGGUAAAAAAUUUCCACAUAUCUGUCUUGUAUGUGUGUAUGUUUACACAUAUUCACUUGCAUUUCAAUCACAGCCAUUUUUCAUAUUUAUUUUUG